RNAcentral lists this transfer RNA (72 nucleotides) under Callorhinus ursinus (northern fur seal). RNAcentral describes it as "tRNA-Thr". Lineage: Eukaryota; Metazoa; Chordata; Mammalia; Carnivora; Otariidae. The record is from RNAcentral.
GUCUUUGUAGUAUACUAAUUACCUUGGUCUUGUAAACCAAAAAUGGAGACCACCACAACCCUCCCUAAGACU